UAACACGUGGGUGAUCUGCCCUGCACUUCGGGAUAAGCUUGGGAAACUGGGUCUAAUACCGGAUAGGAGCCAUCUUUAGUGUGGUGGUUGGAAAGUUUUUCGGUGUAGGAUGAGCUCGCGGCCUAUCAGCUUGUUGGUGGGGUAAUGGCCUACCAAGGCGGCGACGGGUAGCCGGCCUGAGAGGGUGUACGGCCACAUUGGGACUGAGAUACGGCCCAG
RNAcentral lists this ribosomal RNA (219 nucleotides) under uncultured Actinomycetales bacterium. Its description in RNAcentral is "partial 16S ribosomal RNA". It matches the Rfam family "Bacterial small subunit ribosomal RNA", at positions 111 to 334 of the family's 1533-position model. Lineage: Bacteria; Bacillati; Actinomycetota; Actinomycetes; Actinomycetales. The record is from RNAcentral.